RNAcentral lists this ribosomal RNA (253 nucleotides) under uncultured bacterium. RNAcentral describes it as "partial 16S ribosomal RNA". It matches the Rfam family "Bacterial small subunit ribosomal RNA", at positions 524 to 776 of the family's 1533-position model. The record is from RNAcentral.
UACGUAGGGGGCAAGCGUUGUCCGGAUUUAUUGGGCGUAAAGAGCGUGUAGGCGGCCAGAUAGGUCUGCUGUGAAAACUCGAGGCUUAACCUCGAGAUGUCGGUGGAAACCAUCUGGCUAGAGUCCGGAAGAGGAGAGUGGAAUUCCUGGUGUAGCGGUGAAAUGCGCAGAUAUCAGGAAGAAUAUCCGUGGCGAAGGCGGCUCUCUGGGACGGUACUGACGCUGAGACGCGAAAGCGUGGGGAGCGAACAGG